CCUACGGGGGGCAGCAGUGGGGAAUAUUGGACAAUGGGGGCAACCCUGAUCCAGCCAUGCCGCGUGUGUGAAGAAGGCCCUCGGGUUGUAAAGCACUUUCAGUGAGGAAGAACGCCUGGUGGUUAAUACCCAUCAGGAAAGACAUCACUCACAGAAGAAGCACCGGCUAACUCCGUGCCAGCAGCCGCGGUAAUACGGAGGGUGCGAGCGUUAAUCGGAAUUACUGGGCGUAAAGCGCGCGUAGGUGGCUUGAUAAGCCGGUUGUGAAAGCCCCGGGCUCAACCUGGGAACGGCAUCCGGAUCUGUCAAGCUAGAGUGCAGGAGAGGAAGGUAGAAUUCCCGGUGUAGCGGUGAAAUGCGUAGAGAUCGGGAGGAAUACCAGUGGCGAAGGCGGCCUUCUGGACUGACACUGACACUGAGGUGCGAAAGCGUGGGUAGCAAACAGGAUUAGAUACCCCAGUAGUC
This 465-nucleotide ribosomal RNA is filed under the name Vreelandella stevensii. RNAcentral describes it as "partial 16S ribosomal RNA". It matches the Rfam family "Bacterial small subunit ribosomal RNA", at positions 338 to 795 of the family's 1533-position model. Lineage: Bacteria; Pseudomonadati; Pseudomonadota; Gammaproteobacteria; Oceanospirillales; Halomonadaceae. The record is from RNAcentral.